This 253-nucleotide ribosomal RNA is filed under the name uncultured bacterium. RNAcentral's name for it is "partial 16S ribosomal RNA". It matches the Rfam family "Bacterial small subunit ribosomal RNA", at positions 524 to 776 of the family's 1533-position model. The record is from RNAcentral.
UACGAGGGGGGCGAGCGUUGUUCGGAUUUACUGGGCGUAAAGGGCGCGUAGGCGGCUCAUUUUGUCAGGCGUGAAAGCCCCGGGCUUAACCUGGGAACUGCGUUUGAUACGGAUGAGCUAGAGUUCGGGAGAGGAGAGUGGAAUUCCCAGUGUAGAGGUGAAAUUCGUAGAUAUUGGGAAGAACACCGGUGGCGAAGGCGGCUCUCUGGACCGAUACUGACGCUGAGGCGCGAAAGCGUGGGGAGCAAACAGG